This 253-nucleotide ribosomal RNA is filed under the name uncultured bacterium. Its description in RNAcentral is "partial 16S ribosomal RNA". It matches the Rfam family "Bacterial small subunit ribosomal RNA", at positions 524 to 776 of the family's 1533-position model. The record is from RNAcentral.
GACGGAGGGUGCAAGCGUUGUUCGGAAUUACUGGGCGUAAAGGGCGCGUAGGCGGUCUGUUAAGUUCGGUGUGAAAGCCCCCGGCUCACCUGGGGAACUGCGCCGGAAACCGACAGACUCGAGUACCGGAGAGGAGGGUGGAAUUCCUGGUGUAGCGGUGAAAUGCGUAGAUAUCGGGAAGAACACCCGUGGCGAAGGCGGCUCUCUGGGACGGUACUGACGCUGAGACGCGAAAGCGUGGGGAGCGAACAGG